UAGUCCACGCCGUAAACGAUGGUCACUAGCUGUUCGGACAUUAAGUUUGAGUGGCUAAGCGAAAGUGAUAAGUGACCCACCUGGGGAGUACGUUCGCAAGAAUGAAACUCAAAGGAAUUGACGGGGGCCCGCACAAGCGGUGGAGCAUGUGGUUUAAUUCGAUGAUACGCGAGGAACCUUACCAGGGCUUAAAUGUAAGUUGCAUAGAGUAGAGAUAUUCUUUUCUUCGGACCACUUACAAGGUGCUGCAUGGUUGUCGUCAGCUCGUGCCGUGAGGUGUCAGGUUAAGUCCUAUAACGAGCGCAACCCCUGUUGUUAGUUGCCAGCAUGUAAAGAUGGGAACUCGUAACAAGACUGCCGGUGCAAACCGUGAGGAAGGUGGGGAUGACGUCAAAUCAUCACGGCCCUUACGUCCUGGGCUACACACGUGCUACAAUGGUAGGUACAGAGAGCAGCCACAACGCGAGUUGGAGCGAAUCUAUAAAACCUAUCACAGUUCGGAUCGG
Molecule: ribosomal RNA, 506 nt
Filed under: uncultured bacterium
Lineage: Bacteria
Description: bacterial SSU rRNA
Rfam family: Bacterial small subunit ribosomal RNA
Source: RNAcentral